This 476-nucleotide ribosomal RNA is filed under the name uncultured organism. Its description in RNAcentral is "partial 16S ribosomal RNA". It matches the Rfam family "Bacterial small subunit ribosomal RNA", at positions 329 to 801 of the family's 1533-position model. The record is from RNAcentral.
ACAUACACUCCUACGGGAGGCAGCAGUGAGGAAUAUUGGACAAUGGGUGGAAGCCUGAUCCAGCCAUCCCGCGUGCAGGAAGACGGCCCUAUGGGUUGUAAACUGCUUUUAUCUGGGGAUAAACCUACUUACGUGUAAGUAGCUGAAGGUACCAGAAGAAUAAGCACCGGCUAACUCCGUGCCAGCAGCCGCGGUAAUACGGAGGGUGCAAGCGUUAUCCGGAUUUAUUGGGUUUAAAGGGUCCGUAGGCGGACUGAUAAGUCAGUGGUGAAAUCCGACAGCUUAACUGUCGAACUGCCAUUGAUACUGUUAGUCUUGAGUAAGGUUGAAGUGGCUGGAAUAAGUAGUGUAGCGGUGAAAUGCAUAGAUAUUACUUAGAACACCAAUUGCGAAGGCAGGUCACUAAGUCUUAACUGACGCUGAUGGACGAAAGCGUGGGGAGCGAACAGGAUUAGAAACCCCAGUAGUCCCAUGAU